CUCGCACUGGCGCGCCCAGGUGUUGCCCCCGGGGGCGUUCUCCCCGGGCCCGCACGCGUCUGUACGGCGGCCGUGGCGUGUGCGCCCAGGGUUUAUUUGCACGCUCGCCCAGAUGUUGGAUGCCCUUACUGAUGGCAGUAAGCCAAGUAAGUCCAGAUCUUAAACAUAAACAUCCAGCUUUGCAGGUACGCGAAGUUACACAUGCUUCCCGAGACCUAAAAGAUGCACAUACUUGUCAAAACUCUUAAGGUUUUUCUGGAGCUGUAAAUCUACAUAUCCCGACGUUUCACGCACAGCCAAGCCGUGAUACGCUUGCCCAGAUGCGCGUUUUACCCUAACCUGGCGCUCAAGCUUCCUUCUUAAAUAUCCUGCCCCAACAUUGUGCGUAUCGGGGAGCUGUGGCAGCUCCACACUAGCCUUAAACAGGUUUUCUCGGAUCUUAUAUUCAGGUACCCGGACUCGGAACACCUCCCUAAACUUAAACAUCAUCCUUCACUCCAUUGCCUUCUCCGUUCCUUAGCGUUCAUGUCUGCUUGUUCAGAAGCGCCUCCUGGGUCCUUAAACGUACAUCUUAAAGCUUUCAUUCUUCUUCCAGCAAGGUGCUCGGGUCUUCGGGGCCCUGGGUCCCAUCGGGCCCUCCUCGCCCGGGCUCGCCCUCGGGGGCCUGGCCGUGGGUGAGCACCGGCUCAGCAACAAGCUGCUGGCCUGGAGCGGCGUCCUCGAGUGGCAGGAGAAGCGCAGGCCCUACUCGGACUCCACGGCGAAGCUGAAGCGGGCCCUCCCCUGCCAGGCCUACGUGAACCAGGGCGAGAACCUGGAGACCGACCAGUGGCCGCAGAAGCUGAUCAUGCAGCUGAUCCCGCAGCAGCUGCUGACCACCCUGGGCCCCCUGUUCCGCAACUCCCAGCUGGCGCAGUUCCACUUCACCAACAGAGACUGCGACUCUCUCAAGGGCCUCUGCCGCGUCAUGGGCAACGGCUUUGCGGGCUGCAUGCUCUUCCCCCACAUCUCCCCCUGCGAGGUGCGCGUGCUCAUGCUCCUGUACUCGUCCAAGAAGAAGAUCUUCAUGGGCCUCAUCCCCUACGACCAGAGCGGCUUCGUCAAUGCCAUCCGGCAGGUCAUCACCACCCGCAAACAGGCAGUGGGACCUGGUGGCGUCGCGGGCCCUGUCCAGAUGGUCAACAACAAGUUCCUGGCAUGGAGUGGAGUCAUGGAGUGGCAGGAGCCCAGGCCUGAGCCUAACAGUCGGUCUAAGAGGUGGCUGCCGUCGCACAUCUACGUGAACCAAGGGGAGAUCCUGAGGACCGAGCAGUGGCCGCGGAAGCUGUAUAUGCAGCUCAUCCCGCAGCAGCUGCUGACCACCCUGGUGCCGCUCUUCCGGAACUCCCGCCUGGUGCAGUUCCACUUCACCAAGGACCUGGAGACGCUGAAGAGCCUGUGCCGGAUCAUGGACAACGGCUUUGCCGGCUGCGUGCACUUUUCCUACAAGGCCUCGUGCGAGAUCCGCGUGCUCAUGCUUCUGUACUCCUCUGAGAAGAAGAUCUUCAUCGGCCUCAUCCCCCACGACCAGAGCAACUUCGUCAACGGCAUCCGGCGCGUCAUCGCCAAUCAGCAGCAGGUCCUGCAGCGGAACCUGGAGCAGGAGCAGCAGCAGCGUGGGAUGGGGGGGUAGGGGCCACCCCGCCGGGCUGGGCCUCUCCAGGAGCCACAGACGAGGCCCCGCCGAGACUGGUCAGAUGCUUCUGAGCAGAGGCCUGUGGGGACUGCAACUGCCCAGUGAGAUGGAGGACAGCGUCCUGAGAUAUCUCCAAGGACAGUCCCCACCCUUGUACGUUUCCCCAAUAAAACCUUUUAAAAGCC
Molecule: RNA transcript, 1860 nt
Organism: Globicephala melas (long-finned pilot whale)
Lineage: Eukaryota; Metazoa; Chordata; Mammalia; Artiodactyla; Delphinidae
Gene: PTOV1
Gene name: PTOV1 extended AT-hook containing adaptor protein
Source: RefSeq, a predicted model, not a curated record